GGCUCUUGGGUUGUAAACCUCUUUUCUCAGGGAAUAAAAAAAUGAAGGUACCUGAGGAAUAAGCAUCGGCUAACUCCGUGCCAGCAGCCGCGGUAAUACGGAGGAUGCAAGCGUUAUCCGGAAUGAUUGGGCGUAAAGGGUCCGCAGGUGGCAUUGUAAGUCUGCUGUCAAAGAAUGAGGCUCAACCUCAUCAAGGCAGUGGAAACUACAAAGCUAGAGUACGUUCGGGGCAGAAGGAAUUCCUGGUGUAGCGGUGAAAUGCGUAGAGAUCAGGAAGAACACCGGUGGCGAAAGCGUUCUGCUAGGCCUGUACUGACACUGAGGGACGAAAGCUAGGGGAGCGAAUGGGAUUAGAUACCCCAGUAGUCCUAGCCGUAAACGAUGGAUACUAGGCGUGGCUUGUAUCGACCCGAGCCGUGCCGGAGCUAACGCGUUAAGUAUCCCGCCUGGGGAGUACGCACGCAAGUGUGAAACUCAAAGGAAUUGACGGGGGCCCGCACAAGCGGUGGAGUAUGUGGUUUAAUUCGAUGCAACGCGAAGAACCUUACCAAGACUUGACAUGUCGCGAAUUUCCUUGAAAGGGGAAAGUGCCUUCGGGAGCGCGAACACAGGUGGUGCAUGGCUGUCGUCAGCUCGUGUCGUGAGAUGUUGGGUUAAGUCCCGCAACGAGCGCAACCCUCGUUUUUAGUUGCCAGCAUUAAGUUGGGCACUCUAGAGAGACUGCCGGUGACAAACCGGAGGAAGGUGGGGAUGACGUCAAGUCAGCAUGCCCCUUACGUCUUGGGCUACACACGUACUACAAUGCUACGGACAGAGGGCAGCUAAACAGCGAUGUCAAGCAAAUCCCGUAAACCGUAGCUCAGUUCAGAUCGCAGGCUGCAACUCGCCUGCGUGAAGGAGGAAUCGCUAGUAAUUGCAGGUCAGCAUACUGCAGUGAAUUCGUUCCCGGGCCUUGUACACACCGCCCGUCACACCAUGGAAGCUGGCAACGCCCGAAGUCAUUACU
Molecule: ribosomal RNA, 1006 nt
Filed under: Nostocaceae cyanobacterium I.1.a
Lineage: Bacteria; Bacillati; Cyanobacteriota; Cyanophyceae; Nostocales; Nostocaceae
Also listed under: 3 other names
Description: bacterial SSU rRNA
Rfam family: Bacterial small subunit ribosomal RNA
Source: RNAcentral